RNAcentral lists this ribosomal RNA (879 nucleotides) under uncultured eukaryote. Its description in RNAcentral is "SSU rRNA". It matches the Rfam family "Eukaryotic small subunit ribosomal RNA", at positions 571 to 1469 of the family's 1831-position model. The record is from RNAcentral.
CAGCCGCGGUAAUUCCAGCUCCAAUAGCGUAUACUAAAGUUGUUGCGGUUAAAAAGCUCGUAGUUGGAUCUUGGAAUGUGUUCAAGCGGGUCAGCUUCUGGCUGUGCGCUGCUUGACGUGUUCUUCUAUUUGGUUUUGGUGCGGUGCGCUUAACUGCGUGUCGCUCCCGGCCGAAACGUUUACCUUGAAAAAAUUAGAGUGUUCAAAGCAGACCUGUUUGAGUCUGAAUAUUCGUGCAUGGAAUAAUGAAAUAUGAAUUCGGUUCUAUUUUGUUGGUUUUCGGAACUCGAGUUAAUGAUCAAGAGGGACAGACGGGGGCAUUCGUACUCUGCCGUUAGAGGUGAAAUUCUUGGAUCGGCGGAAGACGCGCAACUGCGAAAGCAUUUGCCAAGAAUGUUUUCUUUAAUCAAGAACGAUAGUCGGAGGUUCGAAGACGAUCAGAUACCGUCCUAGUUUCGACUGUAAACUAUGCCAGCUAACGAUCAGACAGAGUUCUCUACGACUUGUCUGGCAGUUUCCGGGAAACCAAAGCGUUUGGGUUCCGGGGGAAGUAUGGUUGCAAAGCUGAAACUUAAAGGAAUUGACGGAAGGGCACCACCAGGAGUGGAGCCUGCGGCUUAAUUUGACUCAACACGGGGAAACUCACCCGGCCCGGACACAGUGAGGAUUGACAGAUUGAGAGUUCUUUCUUGAUUCUGUGGGUGGUGGUGCAUGGCCGUUCUUAGUUGGUGGAGCGAUUUGUCUGGUUAAUUCCGAUAACGAACGAGACUCUGGCAUGUUAAAUAGUCGCGGAAGUGCGUAUGCACUUGCCGAAUUGACUUCUUAGAGGGACUAGUGAUUUUAAUUCACACGAGAUUGAGCAAUAACAGGUCUGUGAUG